This 449-nucleotide long non-coding RNA is filed under the name Sorghum bicolor (sorghum). Its description in RNAcentral is "long non-coding RNA (SBIC_LNC010903)". Lineage: Eukaryota; Viridiplantae; Streptophyta; Magnoliopsida; Poales; Poaceae. The record is from RNAcentral.
GUGCCCAUUUUUUUUUAACUUUUUCCUUAUUUUUAUUGCAGACGUAUCUUUUUUAGGACCUCUCUCGUCUUGUAUGUUUUGUUUUCAUUCACCGGCAACCUUGUUUAGCCAGAAGCUGCUAUAUAUCACAACAGUACGCCUUUAUGCAUCCCACCCGCUGCCUGUACGGCCGCCGCUCCGCGCGCCUACCCGACCAGCCACCGACGACGCCAGAUCCGUAGUCGCCUCGAACUCCUGGGUGCCAGGAUUUCUGAUUGCAAGGUAUUGUUUUCCCUACCCGAUUUCCGGUAUUCUAGAAAUAAAAGCAUGCAUGGCGGGCGGCCAUGGAGGGCAGCUCCGGCGAGAAGCUGGGCGGCUAGCCCCUCCCUCGAGCCAUCCACUGGCCACUGCAGUGUAGAAGUAAGAUGGCAUGGUGGUAUAUAGAGUAAUAAAGUAUAGAUCGACCUGGU